ACAACUAGAGGUAAGAAAUUUGUGAGCAAACAAUGAAAUGUAGAUGAGGUAAAAUGCACAGAGACUAGGCAAGACACUCUGCUUGGCCGACACUACUGAUCUUCUGACAUUCCAUAUGUGCAAUUUUUAGAGCUACAUUACAUAAACAGAAUCUAGCAGCCAAAGUAGCUAAAUAAUAAGAAAAAGCAUUCUAACUCGUUGGCUUUCGACCUAUUGUUUCCAUAGCAGGGCAAUAUCAAUGGCAUGAUUCUAUUAAGGGAACCGUCCCUCCGGCCUGCAGGAUUUGCCGCUCCAGCUGCAUUUAACACAGGUAAGUUCAAAAGCAGAUUCGAAAACCUCCUUGGUCAAACAUGUGGAUAAAUUAUCAAUACUGGACUAGACAGACCAGGAAAACCUUGAAAAUUGUUUGAGCAGCAUCUGGCUUUAAGUUGACAAGGCAACCCCUCAACUUUUAUCAAGACUCAAAAAACCAAAGACUGUAAGGUAAUAAUAUCACCAUCCAUUGAAUUAUUCUUAUCUCGACUUCUUUCUUUAAGUUUAUCGAUACUUCUGUAACGACUUAACCUACACAAGACUCCUUUUCUAUAUAUCAUACUAAUUUUGUAUGCAGAUGCUUGAAUAACCGCGAUUGACAAAUUCCGGUUUAUUAUUGUUAAAUUUGCUUCUAAUUUAUGGUUUAACUUUCAGAAUGAAUUCAUUUUAGAUAUAUAAAAAAAAGUUCACCAUGAAGUAAUACUUACCCUUGACAAAGUUUCCAGCUUGCUCUUCACGAGAUAGAAUUCUUGUUUUACCAAGUUGAGAUAUCUCAAGCACCUGCAUCAAAAUUCCUUUGUUUAGCCAAUACAACAUUCUACAAUAUGAGAAAUGAUUUCUAAGCACCGAUUGUGUUGUUUCAGAAAAAAACUGUCAGGAAUAUAACUAUGCUAUCAUAAAAGCAUGUUUGGCUAAGAUUAAAAAGUUCACUUAUAAGUAAAUAAGUGGAUUUUUAAAAUAAAUGAGUUUUUUUAUUGGUUAAAGUAGGAAAUAAAUUACUUAUUUUGCAAGUAAAGCAAGAGUUUCUUUCCAAACAAAUAAGUUUUUGUACUUAAAAGAAAGGAAAAUGUAACAUAUCCAGAUACGUUUGGCAAAAAAGCUUAACAUAAGAGUAACUUUUACUUGCUUUUAAGCUCUGCCGAACAUGCUUGGAGUCUCCUAUAGACACGAAAAAGGUUGGAGACAAAAUAAAAUGAUAUCGUACAUCUCUACCCCCAAUAAUUUUAAUUUGCUGACUAUAAUUGUGAGUGGUGAAAAUUGAAGUAACUAGGAAAACACAUCACGACUAUUUCCAUAUUUGAUAAUCACAAUCAAUGUUUAGAAAGGCUUAAUCACAAACAACCAAAAUCGAUCAAAAUAAUACAACGGUUUUAAAUAGUCUCAAUGCGUAUCCAAAAGUUCUGUUUUCAUCCAGUUCCACGCACUCUUCAAUUUUCUUAGUUUGAACUAUAUGAAAUUUACCAUUUUGAUUCAGAUGAAAAAGAGUUGACUCAAAAUGGACACUGUUGAUCCAGUUCCUUCCGGAGGUUUUAGAAGUCAUGAUUUUGUGUAAUUGCUAAACUUUGAUCUUUUCUGCUUCGCGGACAUGGUUUAGCACUGCAAAUGGGAUUUGAUGCUUUUAGUAUGGACAUUUUUCUUCUUGAUAGAACUAAAUAUUGAAGAUUUUUCUAAAAACCAAAUGCCAUGAUCCAUUUUCAGUGCAACUCAAUAAAACAUAUGGCCACUUCCAAGUUCAUAUUAAGUGAACAUUGCAAUUUUCCAACUAAGCAUCCAAAAUAAUACAAAGAGAACAUGGCAGUGAAAAUUUAUGUUCGCAUUCACUUUGGAUAGGAUGUGCACCAACAAUCAAGUCGAAUAUGAAGCUUUAAUCGUGGGUUUAGAAUUAAUGAUAGAUAUGGAGAUAAAGAAUGUGAUUGUUAGAGGCGAUUCUCAAUUGGUAAUUCACCAAUUGAUCGGUGAUUUUAAGUGCCAAAGUGAUUCCAUCAUAAGUCAAUAUGAAAUCGCCCAAGAAUUGUUGGAAGAAUUCGACCAAGUAGAGUUUCAAUGUGUUAAUAGGGUAUAUAAUGACAGAGCAAAUGAGUUGGCCCAGAUGGCUUCAGGGUAUUCAAAGGCUUUAAAUUGAAAAUCUACUUGUGAAUAUGGAGUAAUAUUAUCUGUGGUCCAAAGAAGGGCGAGAAGAAUUGAAAUUUAUUGCAUACAAGAUGGAGAUGCAAUAGAUUGGAGGGCGGAGAUUAAUAGGUUCCUUAAAGAACCUAAUAAAGGAGGUAGUAGAUUUCCAAUUUAAAGGUUCAGGAUAAAGGUCCAAACAAGAUUAUUGAUAAAUGCAGUGGAAGCUCACGAAUACAGUAACAUCAUCGCCCAAACUUGCAAGACGCCCAAAAUCUGAGUGAAUGGAGUGCCUUACGGUCACCUGGAGCGAUAACCCCGUUCUCGCCCAAACCUUCAAAUCGCCCAGGAUCUUAGCAAACAUAAAAUAUGAUAGUUAUCCACAAUAGCAGUUAUUGAGUAAUCUUAUCACAUUCCACGAUUCAAGGAGUCCAGUGGAAGGCGGUUGAACGACAAAGAGUAAUGGCAGCAGUUAGAGACGGCAGUUCCACAAUAAGUUAGCCACCAUAAAGAAAGUGGAUAGUUAUAAAGCGAUCAAACAGUUUUCAAGCGAUUUGUCACGAGAAAAUCAUCAAGGAAAUAUAAAAAGAAAGAGAAGAUAUAGAGGAAGAAAAGAAUCAAACACUCUCAAACAGAGAAUAUAUAAUUUUAAUUUCUUAACUUAAAUUUAAACACUUCUUUUAGUACUCGUGUGCUUGCGCCCCUUGGAGGCAUUCAGUUUAUUUUCAAUUGUAAAUCCUCACCAAUAAAACACCCAUUUUUGAGAUUUUGUUUCAAGAGGUCUGUUCCUUACACAAUCGUCUGAUCCCUUUUUUAAUUGUUAACGACUACCCGCGCAAAACAGAGAUCAUUGGCGAGAAUUGAAAUCUGUAUUUAUUUUUGCUAUACAUGUUUAAGUAAAUUCUCAACAGGUUGGUGAGUGGGAAUGUGAAUAAGUUGCCCGAAAUGGAGUCGGUGAACUGGUUUAUACUGAGGUCAAGGUAGCUUAGCUGGCCCAGACGGCUCAACAGCCGGUCAACUGGGCCACUCAGUCUGUUCCAUGAUAAUGAGAGGUACUGGAGUCGUGGGGGUGGGCUCAAUGGGGAAAUGGAACUGGAGUGAUCGUUUUGUGCUUGAGAUCGAGCCAGGUUAGGGUUUGGGAAACAAACGGCGGGACUAAACCGGACAGCUUGUUGUGACAUAGAAUGACAUUUGACAAAGACGGUAGAGCACCGUUGGACCAUGGAAUGCUACCGAAAAACUGAUUGAAGCUAAGAUCAAGCGUUUGUAUCCUCAAAGCUCGCCCAUAGUCGCCGAAAUACCACCGGAGAUGAAGUUCCUGCUGACGGCAAGAAACCUGAGAUUUUUCAACUGAGACAGAGUUUGAGGCAGAGAGCUGAUGAUUCGACCUGGAACUAUAAUAAACUCUGUAAGAGCUGACAGUUUUUCAAUCGCCGGGUCUAUCCAACCCGUUAAACCUGUAGACCCAGCUAGUAGAUCACCAAGGUUCAGAGCAAUCACUCUAUCUCCAUCACAAUACACACCAGCAAAAUUGCAUGGAUCCGCAGUGAAAUCCCACGAAGCAAAAUAAAUUCGACCCGGGCAAAUCAUCCAAACUCUUCCGGAUCGACUGCAAUGCCAUGAAAUCAAUGGGGUCCAACACUGUACCCAGCGGAAAAUUACUUUCCCAAUUGACGAAAAUGAGAUGAAUCCAAUAUAUUAACGUAUAAUCUUUCCUUGUCCUCAAUGGACACCACAUUUUAGGGGUGUAAUUGAUAGAAAAAAAUUUAUAUAUACAAAAGGGAUUAUAAAUGGAAGUUUGAAAAAUCAAGAGAAUUGCAUCGAUUUUCUUGAUGUUGGGCUUGUGGGAGAAGGAAGAGAAAAUUGAGAAUGCAAUGACUGCGGCAAGUACAAAGAGUGUAAUAUGGGAUUUAGUUUGUUUAUCAAGGGAGGUUCUGUUGGAUAAACUGUUGUCCGAGUCUGAGGUUUUUGGCGCAGGAGAUUGUUGGGUUUGGAUUUCACAGUGCCAUUUUCAACUCUACACCAAAAUUUACAUCAAAAUUUGCACCAAACUACAAAUCAUAUCCAACCAUUAUAUCAAAAUUUACACCAAAUGUACAUUUUUAAUCAUUUUAUUUUCUUUUUUUAUUCCAGAUAAUUUAUUUAUUUGUUUUACAAAUACAAAAAUUACUAAAUAAAUAAUUAAAAUAUUAAAUUAAUUAAUAAAUAUAGAAAACAUAUUACAAUUAGUAGAAAUACUAAAAAAAAAUGAAAAUAUUAAAUAAUGUCUUUAAAAAAAGUGCAAUACAUUUUGAAUUUGGAUAUUAUGUUAUUACGAAGUCAAAAUAUUAUUGCAAUUUAAUUCUCAAAAUUCGUAUAUUCUUUCCACAAAUGAUCGAUUAAUGCGUUUCAAAGUGCAAUGUGAGCCUCUUUAUCCUUAUUUUAAUUAAUUCCUUAAUUAUUAUUUCUUACAUUUAAAAUUUAUUUUAAAUAAUAAUAAUAAUAAUAAUAAUAAUAAUAAUAAUGUAUUAGAAAAUAUAUAACACAAAUGACCCGAAUAUCCUUCAUCAAUCACUAACAAAUGGAAAAAGGGGCAAAUAUGACUUUGCAGCAUUUGCACUAAAAUGGUGCAAACUUUAGUGCCACAUUGAAGUGCUUUUGCAUCAAAUUUUGAUUUUGAUGCACCAUUGGAGACGACCUUAGACAAGGACACCGUGACAUUUAGUUGUUGCCACCCCAUAUUUUUUAUAAAUAAAUAUUUUUUUUAUUGAAUUAUUGAAAUUUUGAUUGAAAGUUGAGUGAUUUGUAACUGUACUAUAUUGAUACCACGUAAGAGGUCAAAGAAGGGCAAAGUGGGAAGAGAAAAAAGGCAGUUUGGGACGAAAUGGUGACAGCUGAAGCCUGGUGGUACGAUCAAGUUUUAGUGCUUUCGCGUCCAAACUACUACUCCCAUUUGUCUCAAAUAUAAGACUUGUUUGAUACUGAUUAUGAGAAUUAAUUUUUUGAUCGUUAGAGAGAAAAGUUGAUUUCACCUGUGAGUGAAGAUGUCAAAAAUAACGAUUGGAAUAGUAAAAUAACGGUCAAAAAAUCAAAUUUUUGGAUUAAAAUUGCUAGGGCAUAGUCAAUUAUUGCACGUCAACAAGAAGUCAAUUCUGAAUUUGAGUGAUAUUUCAGAGCCUGUUUGAUUUAGAUUAAAAUUUGAUUUUAAUUUAAGUCAAAAUCAAACAAUCAAUAUCAAUCACAUUUUUUAUGGCUCCCACAAUUUUUUAACCAUACAUUCCAAAAACUCUUAUCACAAUUAGAGAUGACAAAAAAAUUCGUUCAACCCAAUACUCGUGGAGCCUCACCACGAAUGGAACAGGUAAUACUCGCCUAAUCGGAUACAUGUUAUGAGUAUGAGGUGAGAGUUAUUGCCUCGAAGCGGGUAUAAGAUGGGUACGGAAAACCAUUACCCACCCAAUUUAAUAUUAAUUUCAAAUUUAAGUUUUUAUCAAACAAAAAUAAUAAAUUCAUCAUUCUUUUUAAAGAGAACAUAAGUUUUUUAACAAAUUAGUAAAAAAGUAAUAUUAUUUACUAAUUAAGGACAAAAAAAUAAAAGCAAAAAAUAAAAAAAUAAAAAGAAAAAAAUGGGGCAGGAGACUUGCCCCGUCCCGUCCCGCUUUAACUGGAUAUGGGUAUAGGAUAAGAUAACAAAAAUACCAGAUGGGACGGGGGUGGCAAUGGCCGACCUGUUCCAUACCCGCCACGUUGCCAUUCCUAAUCACAAACUACUAAACAAAAUCUAAUUUUAAUCCCCACUAAACACACUAAUUCAUCUCAUAAAAAUCGGUUCAAACCUUCAUUGAGUUUCGCCCAAGUUUCAGCUUGAUUAUGAAUAGAUUGCACAGGCUCCCGCACAUAAAUAGCGAUAAUAACCCUAUGAAGACUCGUAGGAAUAGGUAUGACCGUCUACUUGAAUUUAAUUAGAAGAAUUGUAUAUGUUAUGAUCAAUUGAGAACAAGUCGACUACAAUUACAAAUUGUUUAUUCAUUAAUAUUUUUUAUAUCAAUCCUUUUAUAGUUUUUAUAAUCGAUCUCCAGACCCUUUUUAACUUGCUUCCAACCUUAAUUGAGAUUUGCACAAUUCAAGAAUUUUAUAGUGACGUUUAUUUUGUAGAGAGUUUCUAUCAAUUACAUUUUGAUUUAAGCCCAAAUUGGAGUAAUCAUAUUGCUUUAGCAUUUGGGUUGUGUAGAUAUGAUAAGUCCUAUAGGAAAGAAUGCCAACCCCCUCAAAUAGUGAGUGAAUUAUCCAAAUAAUUACUAAACUUUGUAAAAUGCUUCCACGGAGUCACUAAACUUUAAAAAUCACUCAACUCAUCACUGAAUUUGUAAAAGGUUUUUACGGGAUCACUGAAUGAAUUUGGUACUUUUUAAAGUUCAAUGAUUCCGUACAAACUUUUUGUAAAGUUCAGUGAACAUUUAGAUAAUUCACUACUAAAAAUGGUGCUAUUGAUGGAGUAAUUGCAGAAGGAUGUGUUUUUUUAUUUCACCAGCCCCAACAACCUUCCUAGCCUCUCAUUAUUUGCAGAGGUGGAAAAAUAGUUUUUUUUUUUUUUUUUUUUUCCCGAGAAACGCCGAACACGCCUUAUAAGGUCAGCUAAUUAUUUAUACACUUUUAGUAGUUACCACCAUUUCUGUCGUGCAUAAUAUUUGUUCUUAGAGAUGUUUUCUCGCAGUCGCAGAUUAUCCUUAUUAGAUUAAUUCUAGAUUCAUCCGGUACUAUCGAGUUACACUUAGAAGUAUACUUUUUCUUCUCCUCCCAAAAAAAAAAAUAAUAAUAAUAAUAAAAAAUUAAAAAUAUUGUCGUGUGUGCAUUUAUAUAUUUUAGUUAUGUUGUCUCUUCGUCCAGCCAUAUGUAAUGCUUUUCAUUGCUCUGAAUUAUAUAUUUAUUUAUUUAUUAUUAUUAUUAGUAUUAACUUUAAUUAAAAAUUGUAAAGUUGGUUAAACUCUACUGUGAUGAUGUACUAUAGGGAAGUCCUACGAAAAAAUAGCUUGAUACCAUGAUUAUAAAAAGCUUAGCACCUCUCAUUCUUAUUCAUUUAUUGACGAAAAAAAUUAAAAAUCAAAAGGUCGACUUAUUCAAAACCAAUUAUGAUAUUCCUUCUCUCACACUUAGACUUCGGAAAGCACCAUUCUUAUAGGAUAAACGCGAUUUCACAUCUUUUUAAAUUGAAAUAACAUGUUUAGUGAGGGGAGAGGAAAUGUUCCUUUUUUUUUAGGAUACUCUUGACAGCAGUACCAAAAAAGAUGGGUUGAAGCUUGUAGCUCAAAGGAUUAGAACACAUGACUACAAACCAUUGUAUCAAGGGUUUGAAUUCCUCCUCACCUACAACCGACCCAAAAGGGAAGUAUCUUUCCCUCGGGGGGUUAAAAAUCAUGAUUGAGAUAGCUGAGUUAUGGAACUUGGACGUGUGUCAUUGGAAUGACACUUUAUUUAUUAUUUAUCAUGAAUGAUGAAAUCAUUACAAAUUGUUUUACGAUUUGUAACUCUUCCUCAGACUUGGGCAAAAUAGCAAAGCAAGUACAAGUAUCAGUAGCAUAACAAAAAUGUCCUCCUCGUCAUUAAUAUGUUUGCUUGCUGGGACUUUAGGCAAUGCUUGCAAAAGUCGAUAUGAAGAAUGAAAAUACUAAGAACAUUCACAAGAAAUAGUCAAGAGGACAAUUAAUGUAAUAAAAUGUAAUUAACUAUAACUGAAAAUUACAAAAUUUUGAUAUACUGGUAGAACUGUCGGACUCUAUCGACUUAUUCACACUGCGAUACAUUUUCAGUGCCAUGUAGCUAGACCAUUGAUCUCAUCCCUUAACCAGGGGCGAAGAAAGGAAAUGAAAAACUAAAACUCGGGUUAUAAAAUGAAGAAAAGACCAAUUAAGAGAAAACAAGAUUAACAAAUAACAACUAGAUGUAAGUAAUUUGUGAGCAAACAAUGAAAUGUAGAUGAGGUAAAAUGCAAAGAGACUAGGCAAGACACUCUGCUCGGCCGACACUACUUAUCUUCUGACAUUCCAUAUGUGCAAUUUUUAGAGCUACAUUACAUAUAACAGAAUCUAGCAGCCAAAGUAGCUAAAUAAUAAGAAAAAGCAUUCUAACUCG
This 8247-nucleotide long non-coding RNA is filed under the name Olea europaea (common olive). RNAcentral describes it as "long non-coding RNA (OEUR_LNC013980)". Lineage: Eukaryota; Viridiplantae; Streptophyta; Magnoliopsida; Lamiales; Oleaceae. The record is from RNAcentral.